CCUUGGAGAGCCACGAUGAACUUCUUAAUGGACCCAAUUGCUUCGCAGUAUCUGCUUUUCGGCAGGCUGCCUCAAGUGAAUAUUGCGAGGUGACCAAAAACUCGAUUGAACAAUGAGGAAUCUUGGUCAGAGAACGUGAACAGGUUUAUCAGAGCUAUGAUUUAAUUAGCCACGACGAAAUUUUUCGAUGACGCACUUGUGGUGAAAAACUUCGUGUUGAAGAUUAUCGAUCCUGAGUCUUGCUAAACCACCUUCAGACCCUGAUUGAAGCUGGAAACCAUGUCUUAGGGCGCUAACUAGUCGCUGAUGUAUCAACAUAUUGCAAAAACAGUGAAUAAAAGUUUUAUUUCGCACA
Non-coding RNA from Megalopta genalis, 355 nucleotides. The record is from RefSeq and is a predicted model, not a curated record. Lineage: Eukaryota; Metazoa; Arthropoda; Insecta; Hymenoptera; Halictidae.